This 379-nucleotide ribosomal RNA is filed under the name uncultured eukaryote. RNAcentral describes it as "SSU rRNA". It matches the Rfam family "Eukaryotic small subunit ribosomal RNA", at positions 587 to 972 of the family's 1831-position model. The record is from RNAcentral.
AGCUCCAAUAGCGUAUAUUAAAGUUGUUGCAGUUAAAAAGCUCGUAGUUGGAUUUCGGAGUGGGCCAGUUGGUCCGCCGCAAGGUGUGUUACUGACUGGUUUGCUCUUCUUCGCAAAGACUGCGUGUGCUCUUUGUUGAGUGUGCGUAGGAUUUACGACGUUUACUUUGAAAAAAUUAGAGUGUUCAAAGCAGGCUAUUGCUUGAAUACAUGAGCAUGGAAUAAUGGAAUAGGACUUUGGUCCCAUUUUGUUGGUUUCUAGGACCGAAGUAAUGAUUAAGAGGGACAAUUGGGGGCAUCCGUAUUUCGUUGUCAGAGGUGAAAUUCUUGGAUUUACGAAAGACGAACAACUGCGAAAGCACUUGCCAAGAGUGUUUUCA